RNAcentral lists this ribosomal RNA (308 nucleotides) under uncultured bacterium. RNAcentral describes it as "bacterial SSU rRNA". It matches the Rfam family "Bacterial small subunit ribosomal RNA", at positions 197 to 493 of the family's 1533-position model. The record is from RNAcentral.
GUUGGGAAAGGUGCAACUGCACCGCAGAUGGAGGAGCCCGCGGCGCAUUAGCUAGUUGGUGGGGUAACGGCCUACCAAGGCGACGAUGAGUAGCCGACCUGAGAGGGUGGACGGCCACACUGGGACUGAGACACGGCCCAGACUCCUACGGGAGGCAGCAGUAGGGAAUCUUCCGCAAUGGGCGCAAGCCUGACGGAGCAACGCCGCGUGAGCGAAGAAGGCCUUCGGGUUGUAAAGCUCAGUCACUCGGGAAGAGCGGACGAAGGAGUGGAAAGCCUUCGUCGAGACGGUACCGAGAGAGGAAGCCC